CCUACGGGUGGCAGCAGUAGGGAAUUUUCGGCAAUGGGCGAAAGCCUGACCGAGCAACGCCGCGUGCACGAAGAAGGUCUUCGGAUUGUAAAGUUCCGUUAUAGCGGAAGAACGGUGUACGUAGGAAAUGGCGUACAAAUGACGGUACUCUGUGAGGAAGCCACGGCGAACUACGUGCCAGCAGCUGCGGUAAUACGUCAGGGGCGAGUGUUAUCCGGAAUGAUUGGGCGUAAAGAGGGAGCAGGCGGCCUGGAGGGUCUAUUGUUAAAAGGCAAUGGCUUAACCAUUGUAAGGAGAAGAAACCGGCAGGCUAGAGUUCUAAAGAGGAUCGUGGAAUUCGAUGUGUAGCGGUGAAAUGCGUAGAUAUAUGGAGGAACACCAGUGGCGAAGGCAGCAUACCGGCGCUCAACUGACGCUCAUGCACGAAAGUGUGGGUAUCGAACAGGAUUAGAUACCCUAGUAGUC
This 465-nucleotide ribosomal RNA is filed under the name uncultured bacterium. RNAcentral describes it as "partial 16S ribosomal RNA". It matches the Rfam family "Bacterial small subunit ribosomal RNA", at positions 338 to 795 of the family's 1533-position model. The record is from RNAcentral.